CAGUCGAGCGGACAGAUGAGGAGCUUGCUCCCUGAUGUUAGCGGCGGACGGGUGAGUAACACGUGGGUAACCUGCCUGUAAGACUGGGAUAACUCCGGGAAACCGGGGCUAAUACCGGAUGGUUGUUUGAACCGCAUGGUUCAGACAUAAAAGGUGGCUUCGGCUACCACUUACAGAUGGACCCGCGGCGCAUUAGCUAGUUGGUGAGGUAACGGCUCACCAAGGCGACGAUGCGUAGCCGACCUGAGAGGGUGAUCGGCCACACUGGGACUGAGACACGGCCCAGACUCCUACGGGAGGCAGCAGUAGGGAAUCUUCCGCAAUGGACGAAAGUCUGACGGAGCAACGCCGCGUGAGUGAUGAAGGUUUUCGGAUCGUAAAGCUCUGUUGUUAGGGAAGAACAAGUGCCGUUCAAAUAGGGCGGCACCUUGACGGUACCUAACCAGAAAGCCACGGCUAACUACGUGCCAGCAGCCGCGGUAAUACGUAGGUGGCAAGCGUUGUCCGGAAUUAUUGGGCGUAAAGGGCUCGCAGGCGGUUUCUUAAGUCUGAUGUGAAAGCCCCCGGCUCAACCGGGGAGGGUCAUUGGAAACUGG
This 596-nucleotide ribosomal RNA is filed under the name Bacillus sp. AR463. RNAcentral's name for it is "bacterial SSU rRNA". It matches the Rfam family "Bacterial small subunit ribosomal RNA", at positions 59 to 636 of the family's 1533-position model. The record is from RNAcentral. Lineage: Bacteria; Bacillati; Bacillota; Bacilli; Caryophanales; Bacillaceae.